GACGAACGCUGGCGGCGUGCUUAACACAUGCAAGUCGAACGGAAAGGCCCUGCUUUUGUGGGGUGCUCGAGUGGCGAACGGGUGAGUAACACGUGAGUAACCUGCCCUUGACUUUGGGAUAACUUCAGGAAACUGGGGCUAAUACCGGAUAGGAGCUCCUGCUGCAUGGUGGGGGUUGGAAAGUUUCGGCGGUUGGGGAUGGACUCGCGGCUUAUCAGCUUGUUGGUGGGGUAGUUGCUUACCAAGGCUUUGACGGGUAGCCGGCCUGAGAGGGUGACCGGGCACAUUGGGACUGAGAUACGGCCCAGACUGCUACGGGAGGCAGCAGUGGGGAAUAUUGCACAAUGGGCGGAAGCCUGAUGCAGCAACGCCGCGUGCGGGAUGACGGCCUUCGGGUUGUAAACCGCUUUCGCCUGUGACGAAGCGUGAGUGACGGUAAUGGGUAAAGAAGCACCGGCUAACUACGUG
RNAcentral lists this ribosomal RNA (468 nucleotides) under uncultured bacterium. Its description in RNAcentral is "partial 16S ribosomal RNA". It matches the Rfam family "Bacterial small subunit ribosomal RNA", at positions 28 to 507 of the family's 1533-position model. The record is from RNAcentral.